GCGUGAGUGAUGAAGGCCUUCGGGUUGUAAAACUCUUUUACCAGGGAAGAUAAUGACUGUACCUGGAGAAUAAGCCCCGGCUAACUUCGUGCCAGCAGCCGCGGUAAUACGAAGGGGGCUAGCGUUGUUCGGAAUUACUGGGCGUAAAGCGCGCGCAGGCGGUUCUUCAAGUCAGGGGUGAAAGCCCAGAGCUCAACUCUGGAAUUGCCUUUGAAACUGUAGAACUUGAGUACGAGAGAGGUGAGUGGAAUUCCCAGUGUAGAGGUGAAAUUCGU
This 275-nucleotide ribosomal RNA is filed under the name uncultured bacterium. Its description in RNAcentral is "partial 16S ribosomal RNA". It matches the Rfam family "Bacterial small subunit ribosomal RNA", at positions 399 to 691 of the family's 1533-position model. The record is from RNAcentral.